CAGUGUCCCUACAGCCACUGCUUAGGCAGAGCUAAUGGGUGGUGGGAGAGAGUAGUUAACAGAGCUCUCACUGCCUGCUGACCCCUCUCUUUGGAGUUGACUUGCCCUCUCUUGUUGAGGCUCGGCAACAGCCCUGUGUAGGUUCCAGAUACAUGUGUUUCCCUUACAAAGAAUAGUUGACCGUGUUCAUCUUUUCUUUGUUCCCACUCUGUUUCUCCAUUCUCUGGCUGGCUGUGAUUCUAUAAUUCUUUCUGAUUCAUUCCAGCACAGUUUGCUGCUUUUCUGAAACAAAACAUGCUGGUGAGGAAAGCUUUUCCUCCCGGCACCUCCUCCUGUCUCUUUGGUGAGUAUCGCUUUCACCUGCUCGCUUACCUAGGCUUGCACUCUCCUCCCAGCCUGCCUACCUCUCAGUGUUCCCUGCUCUCCACUCUAUGUCUUCUCUUUCUCUCUCACAGCUCCCUGUACGUGCUCCCUUGCUUGUAUUCUUCCUGUUGGUUUCUCAUGGUGGUGUGUCUUGCUUUCUUACUUUUUUCUGCCGUGCUUCUUGGCUCUGAGUCUCUCUGUGGCCUGCUUCCUUCAUGUGAGCCUGCAUUUCCUUGUCUGUUUUCUCUCUGCCGUGGUUGUUUCCAUCCUGAUUACCGCAAGUACAAGAACCACUUAGAGCAUUCCUCUGUCUGAGGCUGGCACACUCAU
This 693-nucleotide long non-coding RNA is filed under the name Rattus norvegicus (Norway rat). RNAcentral's name for it is "long non-coding RNA NONRATT029914". The record is from RNAcentral. Lineage: Eukaryota; Metazoa; Chordata; Mammalia; Rodentia; Muridae.